Molecule: transfer RNA, 77 nt
Filed under: Brachymeles apus
Lineage: Eukaryota; Metazoa; Chordata; Lepidosauria; Squamata; Scincidae
Description: tRNA-Leu
Source: RNAcentral
GUUGGGGUGGCAGAGCCAGGUAUUAUUGCAAAAGGCCUAAGCCCUUUACACCAGAUGUUCAAAUCAUCUCCCCAACC